Myotis myotis is the source of this 1996-nucleotide long non-coding RNA. RefSeq lists it as uncharacterized. The record is from RefSeq and is a predicted model, not a curated record. The transcript is spliced from 4 exons. NCBI's taxonomy places the organism in Eukaryota, Metazoa, Chordata, Mammalia, Chiroptera, Vespertilionidae.
GUUAAGUUAGGGUUUUUCAAAAUGCUGACACGGCAAGCUCAAAAGGUUUGCCAUCACUGGUCUAAGCUAUAACCCAACUGGCUGUACACAGGAUCAGUGGCCAAGAUUCAGGUAUGAUCACCAACCAGACAGCUCGUCAAGCAGCCCAGGUAGUGUCAGUGGAUGGUUGGGUGGAAGCUGCCAUCUGGGUAGAGGGAUUACCCUGGCUGAGCUGUUGGUGUCCCAGGGCCCAGCUGGAAGUUCUCCUCUUCUUUUUGCAGGUUGCAGAGGUUGACACAGGGAUAGGAGCAGCAGUAUUUGGAGGGUAGUACUCCUAUGCUGCAGGAAUACUCGCCAUGUGGUCAGCAUAGGAGUCUGAGCCGUGGCAGAUGCAGUUCAGUGGAACAUGUUGUCAAUCCAGUUCUUGAUGGGAAGGGAAGUUCUGUAACUGGCUUCUCUUUGGAGGAAAAGUUAUCUUAAACUGCUUCAGAGGAUUCCAUGAAGAACAAUGCUUCAAGCCAUGGUUUUCAAAGUGUCGUUUGGGACCCCUGGAGGUUCAUCGGGCCAAGUUAUUUUAAGACAUCUGUUUCUACAGAUGACACCAGGAAGCUUCCGGACAUCCUCAUUCCAGAGUUGCUGAAACGAGGGGAAGAUGUGAAUACAAUGAACACAGUUCUCAAUAAGAAAACUGGACUUUGCAUUAGGGGUUGUAAAUAUCUUUCUCAGGCUGGUACUUUUAUUUUGACUAAUAUUUUUUUAUCAUCAAGAACGUUUACAUGUUCAUGUGGUCAAAUGUAUCAUUUUUUAAAUGUAUGGAGUAUGAAUUUUGUGUCUGGAGCUUCCCACAGAAAUAUUAUAGAAAAAAAGCCCAUACUUCCCAAGGAACAGUUUUUUGGGUUUUUUUUGGUCUUUUUUACUUUUAAAUUUGUGAUCUAGGGUAUAGGACAUAGGGUAUGUGUGUACGUUGUGUGUUCAGUAGAAUGUCUGAGGUAGAAUUUCAGCUUUUUCUCAAACUACCCAGGUUUUCCACUGUCAUCAUAUACUACUAAAUUUUCACAUCUGUGUUGGUUUAUUUUAUAGUUUAGCUUCCUUUCUUUUAUACACUGAUCUAUCUAUAUUCUCAGAAAGUAUAAUACAAUUAUCUUCUGUAGUGAAACUCUAUGAACUAUAAGUCUUACUGUAAUAUUAGUGGGCUUUCAAUUCUCCUUUUUCUUAAGUUUUCUGCCUUUUUGAGUGCUUUCCUCAUUAGUUGAAGUUACACUCACUUUAUUCUCUUUAUUGUCACAAUAUUGAAUUUACAUGAUUUAGAGAGUUGCAAUCUCUAGAAUACCAAUUUACUGUCUAAGAACAAUGAACUCAUUCUACUUAUUAAAAUCUCAUUCUAUGUUUUUAAACUUUCAAAUACAUAAGUCCUGUUCACUUAUAUUGUUAAAUUUAUCUCUCACUAUCUUACUAGUUUAUUGUCAUUGUGAAUAGGUUUUAUUUAACAUUUUCUAACUAGAUAUAAUGAGCAUAGAAAGAAGCUGCCGAUUUUGUAAACAUGCUGAUUACUCCAAAUUCUUCUUAGUUUUAAUAUUCUUUCCAGCUCAUUCUGGCUCCAAAGCAUAUACUCAAUUAUACUCUACUGCAUCCACAUCAAAUGCCUGCUCUCAUAGGUGCUUUCUCCUCCUGGAAUCUCUCCUCUUCUUCAGUCUUCUCCAGGUUAGCUUUAAUGUAAACAGCCACCGGCUGUGCGUUCCCUUUCAUGGCCUCUCUCUGGCCUUCUGUACUACACUGGUUUGCUCUUGUUUAUAGGUGGUCUGCAACUUUAAAUAUUACAUGUCUUGUAUUCCCAGCACCUAGUAAAGUGUGCAAUCUAUUGAAUGUGAUCAAUAAAUACCUAUUAAAUGAAAAAAAAAAACUAACACAAAGAAUAGAAAUUCAGUUUUAAGAGCCCUGGGUUCUAUAUCUUUGCAUUUUAUUAGUGGUUAGUACACUUCCCUGCACAUAAUAAAUACUCAAUAAAGGUGAACUACUG